GACGAACGCUGGCGGCGUGCUUAACACAUGCAAGUCGAACGGAAAGGCCCUGCUUUUGUGGGGUGCUCGAGUGGCGAACGGGUGAGUAACACGUGAGUAGCCUGCCCUUGACUUUGGGAUAACUUCGGGAAACUGGGGCUAAUACCGGAUAGGAGCUCCUGCUGCAUGGUGGGGGUUGGAAAGUUUCGGCGGUUGGGGAUGGACUCGCGGCUUAUCAGCUUGUUGGUGGGGUAGUGGCUUACCAAGGCUUUGACGGGUAGCCGGCCUGAGAGGGUGACCGGCCACAUUGGGACUGAGAUACGGCCCAGACUCCUACGGGAGGCAGCAGUGGGGAAUAUUGCACAAUGGGCGGAAGCCUGAUGCAGCAACGCCGCGUGCGGGAUGACGGCCUUCGGGUUGUAAACCGCUUUCGCCUGUGACGAAGCGUGAGUGACGGUAAUGGGUAAAGAAGCACCGGCUAACUACGUGCCAGCAGCCGCGGUGAUACGUAGGGUGCGAGCGUUGUCCGGAUUUAUUGGGCGUAAAGGGCUCGUAGGUGGUUGAUCGCGUCGGAAGUGUAAUCUUGGGGCUUAACCCUGAGCGUGCUUUCGAUACGGGUUGACUUGAGGAAGGUAGGGGAGAAUGGAAUUCCUGGUGGAGCGGUGGAAUGCGCAGAUAUCAGGAGGAACACCAGUGGCGAAGGCGGUUCUCUGGGCCUUUCCUGACGCUGAGGAGCGAAAGCGUGGGGAGCGAACAGGCUUAGAUACCCUGGUAGUCCACGCUGUAAACGGUGGGUACUAGGUGUGGGGUCCAUUCCACGGGUUCCGUGCCGUAGCUAACGCUUUAAGUACCCCGCCUGGGGAGUACGGCCGCAAGGCUAAAACUCAAAGGAAUUGACGGGGCCCCGCACAAGCGGCGGAGCAUGCGGAUUAAUUCGAUGCAACGCGUAGAACCUUACCUGGGUUUGACAUGGAUCGGGAGUGCUCAGAGAUGGGUGUGCCUCUUUUGGGGUCGGUUCACAGGUGGUGCAUGGCUGUCGUCAGCUCGUGUCGUGAGAUGUUGGGUUAAGUCCCGCAACGAGCGCAACCCUUGUUCACUGUUGCCAGCACGUUAUGGUGGGGACUCAGUGGAGACCGCCGGGGUCAACUCGGAGGAAGGUGGGGAUGACGUCAAGUCAUCAUGCCCCUUAUGUCCAGGGCUUCACGCAUGCUACAAUGGCUGGUACAGAGAGUGGCGAGCCUGUGAGGGUGAGCGAAUCUCGGAAAGCCGGUCUCAGUUCGGAUUGGGGUCUGCAACUCGACCUCAUGAAGUCGGAGUCGCUAGUAAUCGCAGAUCAGCAACGCUGCGGUGAAUACGUUCCCGGG
This 1343-nucleotide ribosomal RNA is filed under the name uncultured bacterium. RNAcentral describes it as "16S ribosomal RNA". It matches the Rfam family "Bacterial small subunit ribosomal RNA", at positions 28 to 1378 of the family's 1533-position model. The record is from RNAcentral.